UAGGAGGAGGCGUCCAGUGGGUGGAUAAGGUAUGUGAGAACCAACGCAACAAGCAUCAACGCGUAGGCGAUUCCUUGAUCUACAGAAGUCCCAUCGCUGGUGGGAGCAGGAGCAGGAGCCUGUGCACGAACAGAGGGGGAGAAAAUAAGGAAAAUAAGAGUGAAGAGGGCAAAAAAUCCGAGGAACGACCUUGAAGAGCCGUAACCUGUCAUUUUUGUAUAUGUUAAUGAAG
Molecule: unclassified non-coding RNA, 232 nt
Filed under: Hevea brasiliensis (rubber tree)
Lineage: Eukaryota; Viridiplantae; Streptophyta; Magnoliopsida; Malpighiales; Euphorbiaceae
Source: RNAcentral